Molecule: transfer RNA, 84 nt
Filed under: Aquilaria sinensis
Lineage: Eukaryota; Viridiplantae; Streptophyta; Magnoliopsida; Malvales; Thymelaeaceae
Also listed under: 1 other name
Description: tRNA-Leu
Rfam family: tRNA
About the family: Transfer RNA (tRNA) molecules are approximately 80 nucleotides in length.
Source: RNAcentral
GGGGAUAUGGCGAAAUUGGUAGACGCUACGGACUAAAAUCCGUCGACUUUGAAAAUCGUGAGGGUUCAAGUCCCUCUAUCCCCA